AGAGUUUGAUCAUGGCUCAGGACGAACGCUGGCGGCGUGCUUAACACAUGCAAGUCGAACGGAAAGGCCCUUCGGGGUACUCGAGUGGCGAACGGGUGAGUAACACGUGGGUGAUCUGCCCUGCACUUUGGGAUAAGCCUGGGAAACUGGGUCUAAUACCGAAUAUGACCAUGCGCCUCCUGGUGUGUGGUGGAAAGCUUUUGCGGUGUGGGAUGGGCCCGCGGCCUAUCAGCUUGUUGGUGGGGUAAUGGCCUACCAAGGCGACGACGGGUAGCCGGCCUGAGAGGGUGACCGGCCACACUGGGACUGAGAUACGGCCCAGACUCCUACGGGAGGCAGCAGUGGGGAAUAUUGCACAAUGGGCGCAAGCCUGAUGCAGCGACGCCGCGUGAGGGAUGACGGCCUUCGGGUUGUAAACCUCUUUCAGCACAGACGAAGCGCAAGUGACGGUAUGUGCAGAAGAAGGACCGGCCAACUACGUGCCAGCAGCCGCGGUAAUACGUAGGGUCCGAGCGUUGUCCGGAAUUACUGGGCGUAAAGAGCUCGUAGGUGGUUUGUCGCGUUGUUCGUGAAAACUCACAGCUUAACUGUGGGCGUGCGGGCGAUACGGGCAGACUUGAGUACUGCAGGGGAGACUGGAAUUCCUGGUGUAGCGGUGGAAUGCGCAGAUAUCAAGAGGAACACCGGUGGCGAAGGCGGGUCUCUGGGCAGUAACUGACGCUGAGGAGCGAAAGCGCGGGGAGCGAACAGGAUUAGAUACCCCGGUAGUCC
RNAcentral lists this ribosomal RNA (771 nucleotides) under uncultured bacterium. RNAcentral describes it as "bacterial SSU rRNA". It matches the Rfam family "Bacterial small subunit ribosomal RNA", at positions 8 to 796 of the family's 1533-position model. The record is from RNAcentral.